RNAcentral lists this ribosomal RNA (424 nucleotides) under uncultured bacterium. RNAcentral's name for it is "bacterial SSU rRNA". It matches the Rfam family "Bacterial small subunit ribosomal RNA", at positions 355 to 775 of the family's 1533-position model. The record is from RNAcentral.
UGAGGAAUAUUGGUCAAUGGGCGCAAGCCUGAACCAGCCAUCCCGCGUGCAGGAAGACGGCGCUAUGCGUUGUAAACUGCUUUUCCAGGGGGAGAAACUUGCGCACGUGUUGCGCAAUUGACGGUACCCUGGGAAUAAGCAUCGGCUAACUCCGUGCCAGCAGCCGCGGUAAUACGGAGGAUGCGAGCGUUAUCCGGAUUCAUUGGGUUUAAAGGGUGCGUAGGCGGACUAUUAAGUCAGUGGUGAAAUCCUGCAGCUUAACUGCAGAACUGCCAUUGAUACUGAUAGCCUUGAGUCUGGUUAAGGUAGGCGGAAUGUGUAAUGUAGCGGUGAAAUGCUUAGAUAUUACACAGAACACCAAUUGCGUAGGCAGCUUACUGAGCCGACACUGACGCUGAGGCACGAAGGCGUGGGGAUCGAACAG